This 1405-nucleotide ribosomal RNA is filed under the name Emplesis tessellata. RNAcentral describes it as "partial 16S ribosomal RNA". The stretch from base 1 to 390 matches the Rfam family "Microsporidia small subunit ribosomal RNA", at positions 768 to 1311 of the family's 1311-position model. Lineage: Eukaryota; Metazoa; Arthropoda; Insecta; Coleoptera; Curculionidae. The record is from RNAcentral.
AUCUUGAAAAUUAAAAAAGUUGGCGGUAUUUUAGUCUAUUCAGAGGAAUCUGUCCUAUAAUCGAUAGUCCACGCUUUGAUUAACUUAUUUUUUUAAUUUGUAUAUCGCCGUAGUUGAACAUUUUUAAAUAAAUAUAAUGUUCAAGAUUUUAAGUGAUAAAAAAUCAGGUCAAGGUGUAGUUUAUAAAUAAGAAGAGAUGGAUUACAAUAAAUUAAUUUAUACGAAUAAUUUUUUUUAAUAAAAGUUUGAAGGUGGAUUUGAAAGUAAUUUUAAAUAAAUUUUUAAAAUGAUUUUAGCUCUAAAAUAUGUACAUAUCGCCCGUCACUUUCAUUUUAAGAUGGAAUAAGUCGUAACAUAGUAGAUGUACUGGAAAGUGUAUCUAGAAAGGUCAAAUUAAAGUUUAUUUAAACAUUUUAUUUACAUUAAAAAGAAUAUUGUUAAAUCAGUAUAGUUUGAAAUAAAAUUAUUAUUAUUAUUAUUAAAUUUAUAUAUAUAUAUAUAUAUAUAUAUUUUAUAAAAAAAACACUUUUUUUUUUUUUUGUUUUUUAAAAAAAAAAAAUUUUUUUUUUAUUUUAAAUAUGGGGGGAAAAAAUUUUUUUUUUUUUAAAAAAAAAAAAAUUUAUUUUUGUACCCGGGUAUCAGGGCUUCUUAAAUAAGAUUUUGUAUAAAAAUUUCUCGAAUCUAAAAGAGUUAUAAGUAUAUAAUUUUUAUUGUAGAAUAAAUAUUGUAAAUUUACUUAUGGAAGUGAAAUGCUAUUCGAUUUUAGAUAUAUCUAGUUUUUUAGGAAAAAAAUUUAAUUUUAUUUUUUAUUUAGUAUUUAGUUUAAUUUUUAAAAUUUACUAUAAAAAUUAAAUAUUUUAGGGGAUGAGCUUUAAAAUAAAUUAAUAAAAUUUAUAUUAUUUAUAGUAUUUUAAUAAGUAGAAUUAUAAGUUUUUAUCUUUAUAAGUGUUUUUCAACAAAUUAAUUUAUUUAAUAAAAUUUAUAUAAUUAUAGAUUUAUUUUUUAUACUAAAAUAAAAUUAUUAAUUUAAAAUAAUUUGAAAUAAUGAUAAAAUUAGUAUAAAUUUAUGUAUAUAUUUUUUAUUUUUAAAAGAUUAAAUAAAGGAACUCGGCAAAUAUAUUUUUCACCUGUUUAUUAAAAACAUGGCCUUUUGGUUUAUUUAUUUAAGGUCUGGCCUGCCCAAUGAAUUUAAUUUUAAUGGCCGCGGUAUUUUGACCGUGCAAAGGUAGCAUAAUCAUUAGUUUUUUAAUUGAAAGCUGGAAUGAAGGGUUUGAUGAAAAAAUAACUGUCUCUGUUUAAACUAAUUAGAAUUUUAUUUUUAAGUAAAAAAGCUUAAAUAAUUAUAAAAGACGAGAAGACCCUAUAGAGUUUUAUAAUAUUUUUUUAUUUAAAUUUUAGAAUUUAA